This 492-nucleotide ribosomal RNA is filed under the name uncultured bacterium. RNAcentral describes it as "partial 16S ribosomal RNA". It matches the Rfam family "Bacterial small subunit ribosomal RNA", at positions 29 to 507 of the family's 1533-position model. The record is from RNAcentral.
AGUGAACGCUGGCGGUAGGCCUAACACAUGCAAGUCGAACGGCAGCACAGUAAGAGCUUGCUCUUACGGGUGGCGAGUGGCGGACGGGUGAGGAAUACAUCGGAAUCUACUUUUUCGUGGGGGAUAACGUAGGGAAACUUACGCUAAUACCGCAUACGACCUACGGGUGAAAGCAGGGGAUCUUCGGACCUUGCGCGAUUGAAUGAGCCGAUGUCGGAUUAGCUAGUUGGCGGGGUAAAGGCCCACCAAGGCGACGAUCCGUAGCUGGUCUGAGAGGAUGAUCAGGCACACUGGAACUGAGACACGGUCCAGACUCCUACGGGAGGCAGCAGUGGGGAAUAUUGGACAAUGGGCGCAAGCCUGAUCCAGCCAUACCGCGUGAGUGAAGAAGGCCUUCGGGUUGUAAAGCCCUUUUGUUGGGAAAGAAAAGCAGCAGGUUAAUACCCCGCUGUUCUGACGGUACCCAAAGAAUAAGCACCGGCUAACUUCGUG